GUGGGGAAUAUUGGACAAUGGGCGCAAGCCUGAUCCAGCCAUGCCGCGUGAGUGAUGAAGGCCCUAGGGUUGUAAAGCUCUUUCACCGGUGAAGAUAAUGACGGUAACCGGAGAAGAAGCCCCGGCUAACUUCGUGCCAGCAGCCGCGGUAAUACGAAGGGGGCUAGCGUUGUGCGGAAUUACUGGGCGUAAAGCGCACGUAGGCGGACAUUUAAGUCAGGGGUGAAAUCCCGGGGCUCAACCCCGGAACUGCCUUUGAUACUGGGUGUCUGGAGUAUGGAAGAGGUAAGUGGAAUUCCGAGUGUAGAGGUGAAAUUCGUAGAUAUUCGGAGGAACACCAGUGGCGAAGGCGGCUUACUGGUCCAUUACUGACGCUGAGGUGCGAAAGCGUGGGGAGCAAACAGGAUUAGAUACCCGAGUAGUCC
RNAcentral lists this ribosomal RNA (425 nucleotides) under uncultured bacterium. Its description in RNAcentral is "partial 16S ribosomal RNA". It matches the Rfam family "Bacterial small subunit ribosomal RNA", at positions 354 to 796 of the family's 1533-position model. The record is from RNAcentral.